This 643-nucleotide ribosomal RNA is filed under the name Lactobacillus crispatus. Its description in RNAcentral is "bacterial SSU rRNA". It matches the Rfam family "Bacterial small subunit ribosomal RNA", at positions 87 to 720 of the family's 1533-position model. The record is from RNAcentral. Lineage: Bacteria; Bacillati; Bacillota; Bacilli; Lactobacillales; Lactobacillaceae.
GAAAGCGAGCGGCGGAUGGGUGAGUAACACGUGGGAACCUGCCCAUAGUCUGGGAUACCACUUGGAAACAGGUGCUAAUACCGGAUAAGAAAGCAGAUCGCAUGAUCAGCUUUUAAAAGGCGGCGUAAGCUGUCGCUAUGGGAUGGCCCCGCGGUGCAUUAGCUAGUUGGUAAGGUAAAGGCUUACCAAGGCGAUGAUGCAUAGCCGAGUUGAGAGACUGAUCGGCCACAUUGGGACUGAGACACGGCCCAAACUCCUACGGGAGGCAGCAGUAGGGAAUCUUCCACAAUGGACGCAAGUCUGAUGGAGCAACGCCGCGUGAGUGAAGAAGGUUUUCGGAUCGUAAAGCUCUGUUGUUGGUGAAGAAGGAUAGAGGUAGUAACUGGCCUUUAUUUGACGGUAAUCAACCAGAAAGUCACGGCUAACUACGUGCCAGCAGCCGCGGUAAUACGUAGGUGGCAAGCGUUGUCCGGAUUUAUUGGGCGUAAAGCGAGCGCAGCGGAAGAAUAAGUCUGAUGUGAAAGCCCUCGGCUUAACCGAGGAACUGCAUCGGAAACUGUUUUCUUGAGUGCAGAAGAGGAGAGUGGAACUCCAUGUGUAGCGGUGGAAUGCGUAGAUAUAUGGAAGAACACCAGUGGCGAAG